GAUGAACGCUGGCGGCGUGCCUAAUACAUGCAAGUCGAACGAGGUGCUUGAGUAGCAAUACAAGAGUAUCCUAGUGGCGAACGGGUGAGUAACGCGUGGAUGACCUGCCCCAAAGUGUGGGAUAACAGUCCGAAAGGAUUGCUAAUACCUCAUGUGGUUAUCGGAUUUAGAAACUGAUAACUAAAGCAGCAAUGCGCUUUGGGAGGGAUCUGCGUCCCAUCAGCUAGUUGGUGAGGUAACGGCUCACCAAGGCGACGACGGGUAGGGGACCUGAGAGGGUGGCCCCCCACAAUGGAACUGAAACACGGUCCAUACACCUACGGGUGGCAGCAGUAGGGAAUAUUGCUCAAUGGGCGAAAGCCUGAAGCAGCAACGCCGCGUGUGCGAUGAAGGCCU
Molecule: ribosomal RNA, 396 nt
Filed under: uncultured bacterium
Lineage: Bacteria
Description: bacterial SSU rRNA
Rfam family: Bacterial small subunit ribosomal RNA
Source: RNAcentral